CAGUAGCCGCGGUAAUACGGAGGGUGCAAGCGUUAAUCGGAAUUACUGGGCGUAAAGCGCACGCAGGCGGUCUGACAAGUCAGAUGUGAAAUCCCCGGGCUUAACCUGGGAACUGCAUUUGAAACUGUCAGGCUGGAGUCUUGUAGAGGGGGGUAGAAUUCCAGGUGUAGCGGUGAAAUGCGUAGAGAUCUGGAGGAAUACCGGUGGCGAAGGCGGCCAUCUGGCCUAAUACUGACGCUGAGGUACGAAAGCAUGGGGAGCAAACAGGAUUAGAUACCCCAUAGUCCCUGUCUCUUAUACA
RNAcentral lists this ribosomal RNA (301 nucleotides) under uncultured bacterium. RNAcentral's name for it is "partial 16S ribosomal RNA". It matches the Rfam family "Bacterial small subunit ribosomal RNA", at positions 509 to 808 of the family's 1533-position model. The record is from RNAcentral.